AUUGAACGCUGGCGGCAUGCCUUACACAUGCAAGUCGAACGGCAGCACGGGGGCGAACCCUGGUGGCGAGUGGCGAACGGGUGAGUAAUACAUCGGAACGUGUCCUCUUGUGGGGGAUAACCAGUCGAAAGAUUGGCUAAUACCGCAUGAGAUCGCAAGAUGAAAGCGGGGGACCGCAAGGCCUCGCGCGAGAGGAGCGGCCGAUGUCGGAUUAGCUAGNGGUGGGUAAAGCCUACCAGCGACGAUCCGUAGCUGGUCUGAGAGGACGACCAGCCACACUGGGACUGAGACACGGCCCAGACUCCUACGGGAGGCAGCAGUGGGGAAUUUUGGACAAUGGGCGCAAGCCUGAUCCAGCCAUGCCGCGUGCGGGAAGAAGGCC
Molecule: ribosomal RNA, 382 nt
Filed under: uncultured bacterium
Lineage: Bacteria
Description: bacterial SSU rRNA
Rfam family: Bacterial small subunit ribosomal RNA
Source: RNAcentral